GACGGGACCCGCACAAGCGGUGGAUGAUGUGGUUUAAUUCGAUGCAACGCGAAAACCUUACCCACCUUUGACAUGUACGGAACCCUUUAGAGAUAGAGGGGUGCUCGAAAGAGAGCCGUAACACAGGUGCUGCAUGGCUGUCGUCAGCUCGUGUCGUGAGAUGUUGGGUUAAGUCCCGCAACGAGCGCAACCCUUGUCAUUAGUUGCUACAUUCAGUUGGGCACUCUAAUGAGACUGCCGGUGACAAGCCGGAGGAAGGUGGGGAUGACGUCAAGUCCUCAUGGCCCUUAUAGGCGGGGCUGCACACGUCAUACAAUGGCUGGUACAAAGGGUUGCCAACCCGCGAGGGGGAGCCAAUCCCAUAAAGCCAGUCGUAGUCCGGAUCGUAGUCUGCAACUCGACUACGUGAAGUCGGAAUCGCUAGUAAUCGUGGAUCAGAAUGUCACGGUGAAUACGUUCCCGGGUCUU
This 468-nucleotide ribosomal RNA is filed under the name uncultured Rhodoferax sp. Its description in RNAcentral is "bacterial SSU rRNA". It matches the Rfam family "Bacterial small subunit ribosomal RNA", at positions 916 to 1381 of the family's 1533-position model. The record is from RNAcentral. Lineage: Bacteria; Pseudomonadati; Pseudomonadota; Betaproteobacteria; Burkholderiales; Comamonadaceae.